UCAGCUUUUUUUUUUCUCUCUCUCAACAUCCAAACUCCCCUUGUUCCCCUAGUUUUCUCUUUCACCAUCAAAACUCGAAAGCCAAACCCGUCGUUGGUUCUCCUGUUUAUCUCUGUCUUGUCUUUUUCUCUCCUCUAUUUGGCCUGCGAUCAUGGUUAGAAAGGAAAUUGGGGUUUGGCUUGGGAUCAUGGUGGGACCAAUCGAUUCUCAAUUCAUCAUCUGGUUAACAGUUGGGCUUUGCUUAAUCAUAUCUAGUGUCUUAGAGGAGAUAUAUAUAAGAGAGAGGGAGCCAUGAUCAUUGCUUCCAAGGUCUUGUAACAAAACUAGGAAAUCCAAGAAACCGUGUUUCUUAUUUUGAUCAUGCAUCAGCAUACUGUUCUCUCUUCUCCCACAAUUUUUCUCUCCUCCUGGGUUCAUCAGAUAAAGCUGCAUAGCUUGGCCAUUAGCCCUCGGGUUAUUGCUUUCACUGUUGAAACCGCCAUUAACGCUCGGGGCUUCGAGUUCUUUUUCUUCUGCGAAAUGAAACUGCCAUUAAAGCUUGGGGCGUUGGUUUUUCUCUCAUCCAACAAAAACCCAUUCUCUCUCAUCUCCAUGUAAUCCACCAUACAAGAAAAAUCGAAGAAUUUGAGAGAGAGAAGACGCGAGAG
This 647-nucleotide long non-coding RNA is filed under the name Amborella trichopoda. Its description in RNAcentral is "long non-coding RNA (ATRI_LNC004327)". Lineage: Eukaryota; Viridiplantae; Streptophyta; Magnoliopsida; Amborellales; Amborellaceae. The record is from RNAcentral.